Molecule: ribosomal RNA, 250 nt
Filed under: uncultured prokaryote
Description: partial 16S ribosomal RNA
Rfam family: Bacterial small subunit ribosomal RNA
Source: RNAcentral
UACGUAGGGGGCAAGCGUUAUCCGGAUUUACUGGGUGUAAAGGGAGCGCAGACGGCUUAGCAAGUCUGAUGUGAAAGGCAUGGGCUUAACCCGUGGACUGCAUUGGAAACUGUUGAGCUUGAGUGCCGGAGAGGUAAGCGGAAUUCCUAGUGUAGCGGUGAAAUGCGUAGAUAUUAGGAGGAACACCAGUGGCGAAGGCGGCUUACUGGACGGUAACUGACGUUGAGGCUCGAAAGCGUGGGGAGCAAAC